RNAcentral lists this ribosomal RNA (526 nucleotides) under uncultured Porphyromonadaceae bacterium. Its description in RNAcentral is "bacterial SSU rRNA". It matches the Rfam family "Bacterial small subunit ribosomal RNA", at positions 9 to 526 of the family's 1533-position model. The record is from RNAcentral. Lineage: Bacteria; Pseudomonadati; Bacteroidota; Bacteroidia; Bacteroidales; Porphyromonadaceae.
GAGUUUGAUCCUGGUUCAGGAUGAACGCUAGCGACAGGCUUAACACAUGCAAGUCGAGGGGCAGCACGGGAGUAGCAAUACAACUGGUGGCGACCGGCGCACGGGUGAGUAACGCGCAUGCAACCUACCUAUCAGAGGGGAAUAACCCGGCGAAAGUCGGACUAAUACCGCAUAAAACAGGGGCACCGCAUGGUGAUAUUUGUUAAAGAAAUUCGCUGAUAGAUGGGCAUGCGUUCCAUUAGGUAGUUGGUGAGGUAACGGCUCACCAAGCCGACGAUGGAUAGGGGAACUGAGAGGUUGGUCCCCCACACUGGUACUGAGACACGGACCAGACUCCUACGGGAGGCAGCAGUGAGGAAUAUUGGUCAAUGGGCGAGAGCCUGAACCAGCCAAGUCGCGUGAAGGAAGAAGGAUCUAUGGUUCGUAAACUUCUUUUGCAGGGGAAUAAAGUGCAGGACGUGUCCUGUUUUGUAUGUACCCUGAGAAUAAGGAUCGGCUAACUCCGUGCCAGCAGCCGCGGUAAUAC